Molecule: small nuclear RNA, 188 nt
Organism: Bufo gargarizans (Asiatic toad)
Lineage: Eukaryota; Metazoa; Chordata; Amphibia; Anura; Bufonidae
Product: U2 spliceosomal RNA
Exons: 1
Source: RefSeq, a predicted model, not a curated record
AUAUGCCACCAGAUUUGAGCGGUGUGUUAAGUAGUACUAUUCUUAUCAGUUUAAUCUCUGUUACGUCCCCUAUCAGGGGACUUGUAUAUGGCAUUGAUUUUAGGAUCCGGGAGAUGGAAAAAGAUGCUUGGUCGGUCCUCCUACUUUCAAUUUGGGGCACUGCACAUGCGCCGUGUAAUGUACUGUGC